AUGAACGCUGGCGGCGUGCCUAAUACAUGCAAGUCGAGCGAACAGACGAGGAGCUUGCUCCUCUGACGUUAGCGGCGGACGGGUGAGUAACACGUGGAUAACCUACCUAUAAGACUGGGAUAACUUCGGGAAACCGGAGCUAAUACCGGAUAAUAUUUUGAACCGCAUGGUUCAAUAGUGAAAGACGGUUUUGCUGUCACUUAUAGAUGGAUCCGCGCCGCAUUAGCUAGUUGGUAAGGUAACGGCUUACCAAGGCAACGAUGCGUAGCCGACCUGAGAGGGUGAUCGGCCACACUGGAACUGAGACACGGUCCAGACUCCUACGGGAGGCAGCAGUAGGGAAUCUUCCGCAAUGGGCGAAAGCUUGACGGAGCAACGCCGCGUGAGUGAUGAAGGUCUUCGGAUCGUAAAACUCUGUUAUUAGGGAAGAACAAAUGUGUAAGUAACUAUGCACGUCUUGACGGUACCUAAUCAGAAAGCCACGGCUAACUACGUG
Molecule: ribosomal RNA, 496 nt
Filed under: uncultured bacterium
Lineage: Bacteria
Description: partial 16S ribosomal RNA
Rfam family: Bacterial small subunit ribosomal RNA
Source: RNAcentral